Molecule: ribosomal RNA, 1406 nt
Filed under: Lingulaulax polyedra
Lineage: Eukaryota; Dinophyceae; Gonyaulacales; Lingulodiniaceae
Description: Lingulodinium polyedra partial Bacterial small subunit ribosomal RNA
Rfam family: Bacterial small subunit ribosomal RNA
Source: RNAcentral
AUGAAGAGUUUGAUCCUGGCUCAGGAUGAACGCUAGCGGCAGGCCUAACACAUGCAAGUCGAGGGGCAGCGGGGAAAAGCUUGCUUUUCCGCCGGCGACCGGCGCACGGGUGCGGAACGCGUAUGGAACCUGCCCCUGUCAGGGGAAUAGCCCAGGGAAACUUGGAUUAAUGCCCCAUGGUACCAAUAUAUCGCAUGAUAUUUUGGUUAAAGAUUUAUCGGACAGGGAUGGCCAUGCGUACCAUUAGUUAGAUGGUGAGGUAACGGCUCACCAUGGCAGCGAUGGUUAGGGGCCCUGAGAGGGGGAUCCCCCACACUGGUACUGAGACACGGACCAGACUCCUACGGGAGGCAGCAGUGAGGAAUAUUGGACAAUGGUCGGGAGACUGAUCCAGCCAUGCCGCGUGCAGGAUGACUGCCCUAUGGGUUGUAAACUGCUUUUAUACGGGAAGAAACCCACCUACGUGUAGGUGGCUGACGGUACCGUAAGAAUAAGGACCGGCUAACUCCGUGCCAGCAGCCGCGGUAAUACGGAGGGUCCGAGCGUUAUCCGGAAUCAUUGGGUUUAAAGGGUCCGUAGGCGGGCCGUUAAGUCAGGGGUGAAAGUCUGCGGCUCAACCGUAGAAUUGCCUUUGAUACUGGCGGUCUUGAGUCAUGGUGGGGUUGCCGGAACAUGUGGUGUAGCGGUGAAAUGCAUAGAUAUCACAUAGAACACCGAUCGCGAAGGCAGGUGACCAACCAUGUACUGACGCUGAUGGACGAAAGCGUGGGUAGCGAACGGGAUUAGAUACCCCGGUAGUCCACGCCGUAAACGAUGGAUACUAGCUGUGGGGACUUCGGUCUCCGUGGCCAAGCGAAAGUGAUAAGUAUCCCACCUGGGGAGUACGUUCGCAAGAAUGAAACUCAAAGGAAUUGACGGGGGCCCGCACAAGCGGUGGAGCAUGUGGUUUAAUUCGAUUCAACGCGAAGAACCUUACCAGGGUUUGACAUGAUACGAAUUUCUUUGAAAGAAGAAAGUGCCGUUUGGAACGUAUACACAGGUGGUGCAUGGCUGUCGUCAGCUCGUGUCGUGAGAUGUUGGGUUAAGUCCCGCAACGAGCGCAACCCUCAUUUUUAGUUGCCUUUAUGGAACUCUAGAAAGACUGCCGGUUAUAAACCGGAGGAAGGCGGGGAUGACGUCAAGUCAGCAUGCCCCUUACACCCUGGGCUACACACGUGCUACAAUGGGUGAGACAAUGAGAUGCAACUCUGCGAAGACAAGCUAAUCUAUAAACUCACUCUAAGUUCGGAUUGUAGGCUGCAACUCGCCUGCAUGAAGUUGGAAUCGCUAGUAAUCGCUGGUCAGCUAUACAGCGGUGAAUUCGUUCCCGGGCCUUGUACACACCGCCCGUCACACCAUGGAAGCUG